AGAGUUUGAUCAUGGCUCAGAUUGAACGCUGGCGGCAGGCCUAACACAUGCAAGUCGAGCGGUAACAGAGAGUAGCUUGCUACUCUGCUGACGAGCGGCGGACGGGUGAGUAAUGCUUGGGAAUGUACCUUAUGGUGGGGGACAACAGUUGGAAACGACUGCUAAUACCGCAUAAUGUCUUCGGACCAAAGCGGGGGACCUUCGGGCCUCGCGCCAUAAGAUCAGCCCAAGUGGGAUUAGCUAGUUGGUGAGGUAAUGGCUCACCAAGGCGACGAUCCCUAGCUGGUUUGAGAGGAUGAUCAGCCACACUGGGACUGAGACACGGCCCAGACUCCUACGGGAGGCAGCAGUGGGGAAUAUUGCACAAUGGGCGCAAGCCUGAUGCAGCCAUGCCGCGUGUGUGAAGAAGGCCUUCGGGUUGUAAAGCACUUUCAGUAAGGAGGAAAGGUUGGAUGUUAAUAGCAUUCAGCUGUGACGUUACUUACAGAAGAAGCACCGGCUAACUCCGUGCCAGCCGCCGCGGUAAUAC
This 529-nucleotide ribosomal RNA is filed under the name uncultured bacterium. Its description in RNAcentral is "bacterial SSU rRNA". It matches the Rfam family "Bacterial small subunit ribosomal RNA", at positions 8 to 526 of the family's 1533-position model. The record is from RNAcentral.